GACGAACGCUGGCGGCGUGCUUAACACAUGCAAGUCGAACGGAAAGGCCCUGCUUUUGUGGGGUGCUCGAGUGGCGAACGGGUGAGUAACACGUGAGUAACCUGCCCUUGACUUUGGGAUAACUUCAGGAAACUGGGGCUAAUACCGGAUAGGAGCUCCUGCUGCAUGGUGGGGGUUGGAAAGUUUCGGCGGUUGGGGAUGGACUCGCGGCUUAUCAGCUUGUUGGUGGGGUAGUGGCUUACCAAGGCUUUGACGGGUAGCCGGCCUGAGAGGGUGACCGGCCACAUGGGGACUGAGAUACGGCCCAGACUCCUACGGGAGGCAGCAGUGGGGAAUAUUGCACAAUGGGCGGAAGCCUGAUGCAGCAACGCCGCAUGCGGGAUGACGGCCUUCGGGUUGUAAACCGCUUUCGCCUGUGACGAAGCGUGAGUGACGGUAAUGGGGAAAGAAGCACCGGCUAACACGUG
This 467-nucleotide ribosomal RNA is filed under the name uncultured bacterium. RNAcentral describes it as "partial 16S ribosomal RNA". It matches the Rfam family "Bacterial small subunit ribosomal RNA", at positions 28 to 507 of the family's 1533-position model. The record is from RNAcentral.